AACGAACGCUGGCGGCAGGCUUAACACAUGCAAGUCGAACGGGUGUAGCAAUACAUCAGUGGCAGACGGGUGAGUAACACGUGGGAACCCUCCUAGAGGUACGGAACAACUCAGGGAAACUUGAGCUAAUACCGUAUACGCUCGUGAGAGGAAAGAUUUAUCGCCUUUAGACGGGCCCGCGUCGGAUUAGCUAGUUGGUGAGGUAACGGCUCACCAAGGCGACGAUCCGUAGCUGAUCUGAGAGGAUGAUCAGCCACACUGGAACUGAGACACGGUCCAGACUCCUACGGGAGGCAGCAGUGGGGAAUCUUGGACAAUGGGCGCAAGCCUGAUCCAGCCAUGCCGCGUGAGUGAAGAAGGCCUUCGGGUUGUAAAGCUCUUUUGUCAGGGACGAUAAUGACGGUACCUGAAGAAUAAGCCCCGGCAAACUUCGUGCCAGCCGCCGCGGUAA
RNAcentral lists this ribosomal RNA (451 nucleotides) under uncultured bacterium. Its description in RNAcentral is "partial 16S ribosomal RNA". It matches the Rfam family "Bacterial small subunit ribosomal RNA", at positions 29 to 523 of the family's 1533-position model. The record is from RNAcentral.